Molecule: ribosomal RNA, 256 nt
Filed under: uncultured archaeon
Lineage: Archaea
Description: partial 16S ribosomal RNA
Rfam family: Archaeal small subunit ribosomal RNA
Source: RNAcentral
CAGCCGUAAACUAUGCUCGCUAGGUGUCAGGCAUGGCGCGACCGUGUCUGGUGCCGCAGGGAAGCCGUGAAGCGAGCCACCUGGGAAGUACGGCCGCAAGGCUGAAACUUAAAGGAAUUGGCGGGGGAGCACAACAACGGGUGGAGCCUGCGGUUUAAUUGGACUCAACGCCGGACAACUCACCGGGGACGACAGCAAUAUGUAGGCCAGGCUGAAGACCUUGCCUGAAUCGCUGAGAGGAGGUGCAUGGCGUAGU